This 349-nucleotide RNase P RNA is filed under the name Thiotrichales bacterium. RNAcentral's name for it is "RNase P RNA component class A". It matches the Rfam family "Bacterial RNase P class A". Rfam says of the family: Ribonuclease P (RNase P) is a ubiquitous endoribonuclease, found in archaea, bacteria and eukarya as well as chloroplasts and mitochondria. Its best characterised activity is the generation of mature 5'-ends of tRNAs by cleaving the 5'-leader elements of precursor-tRNAs. Lineage: Bacteria; Pseudomonadati; Pseudomonadota; Gammaproteobacteria; Thiotrichales. The record is from RNAcentral.
CGAGCCGGUCGGACAGCCGCUCGCCGCAGGGCGGGAGGAAAGUCCGGGCUCCACAGGGCAGGGUGCCAGGUAACGCCUGGGGGGCGCGAGCCCACGGAAAGUGCCACAGAGAGCAGACCGCCGAUGGCCGCAUGGCGGCACAGGCAAGGGUGAAAGGGUGCGGUAAGAGCGCACCGCGCGGGUGGCAACACACCGCGGCACGGCAAACCCCACCCGGAGCAAGACCAAAUAGGGGAACCAGGGUGUGGCCCGCACCGUUCCCGGGUAGGUCGCUAGAGGCGCAUGGCGACAUGCGUCCCAGAGGAAUGGCUGUCCUCGACAGAACCCGGCUUACAGACCGGCUCAUGCA